Molecule: unclassified non-coding RNA, 246 nt
Filed under: Chalara sp.
Lineage: Eukaryota; Fungi; Ascomycota; Leotiomycetes; Helotiales
Description: partial internal transcribed spacer region
Rfam family: Eukaryotic small subunit ribosomal RNA (bases 1-46)
Source: RNAcentral
AAGUCGUAACAAGGUUUCCGUAGGUGAACCUGCGGAAGGAUCAUUACCGAAGUCAAGGCCCCUUCGGGGGCUAAACUUCCACCCUUUGUUUACCUUACCAUUGUUGCUUUGGCGGGCCGCCUUAGGCCACCGGCUCUCGAGCUGGUGCGUGCCCGCCAGAGACCCCCAAACCCAAACCAUAUUUAGUGUCGUCUGAAAACAAGUUUAAAUUAUUUAAAACUUUCAACAACGGAUCUCUUGGUUCUG